CUACGGGUGGCUGCAGUGGGGAAUAUUGGACAAUGGGGGAAACCCUGAUCCAGCAAUGCCGCGUGUGUGAAGAAGGCCUGCGGGUUGUAAAGCACUUUCGGUUGGGAGGACUGCCUCUAGCACUAAUAUUGUUGGAAGUUGACGUUACCUUCAGAAGAAGCACCGGCUAACUCCGUGCCAGCAGCCGCGGUAAUACGGAGGGUGCAAGCGUUAAUCGGAAUUACUGGGCGUAAAGCGCGCGUAGGCGGCUAGAUCAGUCGGGUGUGAAAGCCCCGGGCUUAACCUGGGAACUGCAUCCGAUACUGUCUAGCUUGAGUACAGGAGAGGAGAGUGGAAUUCCACAUGUAGCGGUGAAAUGCGUAGAUAUGUGGAGGAACACCAAUGGCGAAGGCAGCUCUCUGGCCUGAUACUGACGCUGAGGUGCGGAAGCGUGGGGAGCAAACAGGAUUAGAUACCCGAGUAGUC
This 465-nucleotide ribosomal RNA is filed under the name uncultured bacterium. RNAcentral describes it as "partial 16S ribosomal RNA". It matches the Rfam family "Bacterial small subunit ribosomal RNA", at positions 339 to 795 of the family's 1533-position model. The record is from RNAcentral.